UACAGAGACCUCAAGCGUUAUCCGGAAUCAUUGGGCGUAAAGCGUACCGAUAGGUGGUUUACAAAGUCAGAGGUGAAAUCUCAAGGCUCAGCCUUGAGUCUGUCCUUUGAUACUUGUAAACUAGAGGGGCAAAGAGGAAGCUGGAACGAACGGUGUAGUAGUGAAAUGCGUUGAUAUCGUUCGGAACACCAAUAGCGUAGGCAGGCUUCUGGGUGCCACCUGACACUGCUAGGACGAAAGCGUGGGGAGCGAAUGGG
Molecule: ribosomal RNA, 257 nt
Filed under: uncultured bacterium
Lineage: Bacteria
Description: partial 16S ribosomal RNA
Rfam family: Bacterial small subunit ribosomal RNA
Source: RNAcentral